RNAcentral lists this ribosomal RNA (497 nucleotides) under uncultured bacterium. RNAcentral describes it as "partial 16S ribosomal RNA". It matches the Rfam family "Bacterial small subunit ribosomal RNA", at positions 28 to 507 of the family's 1533-position model. The record is from RNAcentral.
GAUGAACGCUGGCGGCGUGCCUAAUACAUGCAAGUCGAGCGAACGGACGAGAAUCUUGCUUCUCUGAUGUUAGCGGCGGACGGGUGAGUAACACGUGGAUAACCUCCCUAUCAGACUGGGAUAACUUCGGGAAACCGGCGCUAAUACCGGAUAAUAUCUUGAACCGCAUGGUUCAAAAGUGAAAUACGGUCUUGCUGUCACUUAUCGCUGGAUCCGCGCUGCAUUAGCUAGUUGGUAAGGUAACGGCUUACCAAGGCAACGAUGCGUAGCCGAACUGAGAGGGGGAUAGGACACAAUGGAACUGAGACACGGACAAGACGACUAAGGGAGGCAGCAGUAGGGAAUCUUACGCAAUGGGCGAAAGCAUGACGGAGCAACGCCGAGUGAGUGGUGAAGGUCUUCGGAUCGUAAAAAUCUGUUAUUAGGGAAGAACAUAUGUGGAAGUAACUGUGCACAGAGUGACGGUACCGAAUCAGAAAGCCACGGCUAACUACGUG